AGAGUUUGAUCAUGGCUCAGAACGAACGCUGGCGGCGUGCUUAACACAUGCAAGUCGAGUGCGCGCCUGUAGCAAUACAGGUGGCGCACGGCGCACGGGUGCGUAACACGUGGGUAACCUGCCCUUUGGUGGGGAAUAACUCCGCGAAAGCGGAGCUAAUUCCGCAUAAGAUCCGCAAGGAUGAAAGCCGAGAGGCGCCGAUGGAGGGGCCCGCGCACGAUUAGCUAGUUGGUAGGGUAACGGCCUACCAAGGCUUUGAUCGUUAGCUGGUCUGAGAGGAUGGCCAGCCACACUGGAACUGAGACACGGUCCAGACUCCUACGGGAGGCAGCAGUGGGGAAUCUUGCACAAUGGGCGAAAGCCUGAUGCAGCGACGCCGCGUGGGGGAUGAAGCAUUUCGGUGUGUAAACCCCUUUCGAUCCGGACGAAUGCCCGCAAGGGAUUGACGGUACGGAUAUAAGAAGCCCCGGCUAACUACGUGCCAGCAGCCGCGGUAAGACGUAGGGGGCCAGCGUUGUUCGGAAUUACUGGGUGUAAAGGGUUCGUAGGCGGUGCGGCAAGUUGGGAGUGAAAUCUCUGGGCUUAACCCAGAGGCUGCUUCCAAAACUGCUGUGCUUGAGUGUGGGAGAGGCGCGUGGAAUUGCAGGUGUAGCGGUGAAAUGCGUAGAUAUCUGCAGGAACACCCGUGGCGAAAGCGGCGCGCUGGACCACUACUGACGCUGAGGAACGAAAGCUAGGGGAGCAAACAGGAUUAGAUACCCUAGUAGUCC
RNAcentral lists this ribosomal RNA (770 nucleotides) under uncultured bacterium. Its description in RNAcentral is "bacterial SSU rRNA". It matches the Rfam family "Bacterial small subunit ribosomal RNA", at positions 8 to 796 of the family's 1533-position model. The record is from RNAcentral.